GACGAACGCUGGCGGCGUGCCUAAUACAUGCAAGUCGAACGAGCGGCGGACGGGUGAGUAAUGUAUGGGGACUGCCCGAUAGAGGGUGAUAACUACUGGAAACGGUGGCUAAUACCGCAUACUCUCGGCUAACCCCUAUGGGAUUAGCUAGUAGGUGGGGUAAAGGCUCACCUAGGCCACGAUCUCUAGCUGGUCUUAGAGGAUGAUAGACCAAAUUGGGACUGAGACACGGCCCAGACUCCUACGGAGGCAGCAGUGGGGAAUAUUGCACAAUGGGCUCAAGCCUGAUGCAGCCAUGCCGCGUGGAUGAAGAAGGCCUUAGGGGUGUAAAGUACUUUCAGUGGGGAGGCGUUACCCGCAGAAGAAGCACCGGCUAACUCCGUGCCAGCAGCCGCGGUAAUUC
This 403-nucleotide ribosomal RNA is filed under the name uncultured bacterium. RNAcentral describes it as "partial 16S ribosomal RNA". It matches the Rfam family "Bacterial small subunit ribosomal RNA", at positions 28 to 526 of the family's 1533-position model. The record is from RNAcentral.